CUUCCCGUAGGGNGNCCUGCGGAAGGAUCAUUAGAGAACCUGGGCCUGCGCUACUUGCGCGGCUCCAACCAAUACACAGUGUGUUAUACUUCUUUUGCUUUGGCUCUGCCAAAGGUUUUAAACACAGAAAUUUAUUUUCUUUAAGAACAGUCAAUUUGAAAUUUUAAUCUUCAAAACUUUCAACAACGGAUCUCUUGGUUCUCGCAACGAUGAAGAACGCAGCGAAAUGCGAUACGUAAUGUGAAUUGCAGGUUUUCGUGAAUCAUCGAAUCUUUGAACGCAUAUUGCGCUCUCUGGCAUUCCAGAGAGCAUGCCUGUUUGAGCGUCAUUUCUCUCUCAAGAUCCUCUAGGGGACUUGGUAUUGAGUGAUACUCUGUGUUAACUUGAAAUACUCUAGGCAGAGCUCCCCCCUGGAAAUCCUCUGGGCCGAAAUAAUGUAUUAGGUUCUACCAACUCGUUAUUUUCCAGACAGACUUCCAGGCAGAGCUCGGCUUAACAACCUUUCUAAGCUUGACCUCAAAUCAGGUAGGACUACCCGCUGAACUUAAGCAUAUCAAUAAGNCGGAGGAA
This 570-nucleotide ribosomal RNA is filed under the name Williopsis jadinii. Its description in RNAcentral is "eukaryotic LSU rRNA". The stretch from base 175 to 328 matches the Rfam family "5.8S ribosomal RNA". Lineage: Eukaryota; Fungi; Ascomycota; Saccharomycetes; Phaffomycetales; Wickerhamomycetaceae. The record is from RNAcentral.